GUCCGUGUUAAAUGCAGAGGGCGCUGAGAACUCCAGGAACACAGACUGGCGACCCCCCGAACUUUGCCUCUUGAUCAUACAUUCGUGGCCGUGAUAAGCUGCUCGUUUCCAGUCCAUUAUAUCCAUAGACAUAUAAAUAAAUGGACCGCGCUUAGAGAGAGAAAUCAUGAAACCGACAUUGAUGAGAGAGAAAAAAACAGUUGUGGCAAGCAUGGGGGAAACAUAGAUAAGAUACAUAAUAUAUGAAAUAUAAGAUCUUAUAUUAUCUAUGGUUUCAAGUCACCCAGAUUGACGGUAGUCUGUUAUUGUCUAUUGAACAUUUAAACAAUAUUACAGGAUCUAUCCAUUCUGAUUUCUGAUUCAGUGUUGUAAUUAAAUCGAUGAUAAUAUUUAAGAUUUAUAAUUACAAUUUACUAUUCUGAGAGCCAGAGAAUUAAAAAAGAUCUUCUCUACAUCGUGUUUUUCCCGGACCACUUAGAAGAACAUACAGAUUCAGAUCUGUGCAGACACUUAUCUGCUGAAAUUAACUAAUAACUAGAUAAUUUAAAUAGGAGUUUGUGUGUAGCCUAAAUGGAUAA
Long non-coding RNA from Metopolophium dirhodum (rose-grain aphid), 578 nucleotides. RefSeq lists it as uncharacterized. NCBI's taxonomy places the organism in Eukaryota, Metazoa, Arthropoda, Insecta, Hemiptera, Aphididae. The transcript is spliced from 2 exons. The record is from RefSeq and is a predicted model, not a curated record.